RNAcentral lists this ribosomal RNA (501 nucleotides) under uncultured bacterium. RNAcentral's name for it is "partial 16S ribosomal RNA". It matches the Rfam family "Bacterial small subunit ribosomal RNA", at positions 30 to 523 of the family's 1533-position model. The record is from RNAcentral.
AUUGAACGCUGGCGGCAUGCCUUACACAUGCAAGUCGAACAGCAGCACGGGUGCUUGCACCUGGUGGCGAGUGGCGAACGGGUGAGUAAUACAUCGGAACGCACCUUAUCGUGGGGGAUAACGCAGCGAAAGCUGUGCUAAUACCGCAUACGCCCUGAGGGGGAAAGCGGGGGAUCGCAAGACCUCGCGCGAUUAGAGCGGCCGAUGCCUGAUUAGCUUGUUGGUGGGGUAAAAGCCCACCAAGGCGACGAUCAGUAGCUGGUCUGAGAGGACGAUCAGCCACACUGGGACUGAGACACGGCCCAGACUCCUACGGGAGGCAGCAGUGGGGAAUUUUGGACAAUGGGGGCAACCCUGAUCCAGCAAUGCCGCGUGAGUGAAGAAGGCCUUCGGGUUGUAAAGCUCUUUUGUCAGGGAAGAAACACCGGCUCUAACACAGUCCGGGAAUGACGGUACCUGAAGAAUAAGCACCGGCUAACUACGUGCCAGCCGCCGCUGUAA